Molecule: ribosomal RNA, 472 nt
Filed under: uncultured bacterium
Lineage: Bacteria
Description: bacterial SSU rRNA
Rfam family: Bacterial small subunit ribosomal RNA
Source: RNAcentral
UGGGGAAUAUUGGACAAUGGGCGAAAGCCUGAUCCAGCCAUGCCGCGUGUGUGAAGAAGGUCUUCGGGUUGUAAAGCACUUUAAGUUGGGAGGAAGGGCCAUUACCUAAUACGUGAUGGUUUUGACGUUACCGACAGAAUAAGCACCGGCUAACUCUGUGCCAGCAGCCGCGGUAAUACAGAGGGUGCAAGCGUUAAUCGGAAUUACUGGGCGUAAAGCGCGCGUAGGUGGUUUGUUAAGUUGGAUGUGAAAUCCCCGGGCUCAACCUGGGAACUGCAUUCAAAACUGACUGACUAGAGUAUGGUAGAGGGUGGUGGAAUUUCCUGUGUAGCGGUGAAAUGCGUAGAUAUAGGAAGGAACACCAGUGGCGAAGGCGACCACCUGGACUGAUACUGACACUGAGGUGCGAAAGCGUGGGGAGCAAACAGGAUUAGAUACCCCCGUAGUCCCUGAGCGGGCUGGCAAGGCGCAU